GGAGCAGGCCAUGCGGCCGCGGGCGCGAACGCGCUCGAGGAAAGUCCGGGCUCCGCAGGGCAGGGUGCUGGGUAACGCCCAGUGGGGGCGACCCCGAGGACAGUGCCACAGAAACAUACCACCCCCUCGCGGGGGCAAGGGUGAAAAGGUGCGGUAAGAGCGCACCAGCGGCCGGGUAACCGGCCGGCUCGGUACACCCCACCCGGAGCAAGGUCACAUAGGGGGAGAUGAGGCGGCCCGCCGAUCCCCGGGUAGACUGCUGGAGGUGCCGGGUAACCGGCACCCGAGAGAGAUGGCCGCACUCGACUGAACCCGGCUUACAGGCCUGCUCCCAAG
RNAcentral lists this RNase P RNA (336 nucleotides) under Candidatus Segetimicrobium genomatis. Its description in RNAcentral is "Terrabacteria group bacterium ANGP1 RNase P RNA component class A". It matches the Rfam family "Bacterial RNase P class A". Rfam says of the family: Ribonuclease P (RNase P) is a ubiquitous endoribonuclease, found in archaea, bacteria and eukarya as well as chloroplasts and mitochondria. Lineage: Bacteria; Bacillati; Candidatus Sysuimicrobiota; Candidatus Sysuimicrobiia; Candidatus Sysuimicrobiales; Candidatus Segetimicrobiaceae. The record is from RNAcentral.